CAUAUCUAACAAAGAAACGAACAANUGAAAAAAAAUGAAAAAAGGAAUUGUUAAUAAUUGACCCCUUGUGUGAUGAGAUCAGAUAUGAAAGAACAUGCCUGAGGAAUUGGAGAAACUUCAUCAAACGAUUAACUAGUAAAUCCUCAUCUGAUUGGAACAGUAAAAUUGUGCAGCAUCCCAGACAAAGUGAUGGUCACAACUGUGGACCACUCAUCUUAAAGUUUGCAGAAAUAUAUUUGCAGCACAAAGACAUCAGUACGGUGGAAACAACACAGAAGGCUAAUACUGCGUUUAGAAGACAUAUAGCAAUUCUUCUAAUGAAGGAGUCAGGUAAUUACUUUCUACCAUGUAUUGUGGACUCAUUAGGCACAUGUGAGGAUAACAUGAAGAAUGGAAUUUUGUCACAUAAUAGACAGUUAUCUUAAUACCCCUAAAGUGGGAUAUCUCGCAGGUUUGGUUCUGUACUGGUGACUAUGAAUCAAUAAUAUAUUUAAGUACACCAAAAUUUUAAUGGGGUGAAUGAUUGCUAUUGAUCGACCAGUUAAAUGAAAUUUGAAUUUUUAGAUACAGGUGUAGUAAAGUUAAAAUCUGAAAAAAAUAUUCCAAAAAAAGGAAAACAUAUGUGUUCAAACCAUUGACUGGAUUACAAUAUUGACAAUUAAUAUAUCAAGAUUAGCAUUUUCAGUGUUGGUCAUAACGUAUUCAUCAUUUCGUAAUGCUAUAUUUAUUUUUAAGAAAACGUGGAGGACUACUGCAUAUACUGCAACCUUAUCGACUGUGAAAAAGAAAGUGAGGAUUGCACGAUGGUAAGAAACAUAGAAUUACAUGAGAAAUAUAUGCCAUAAACU
Molecule: long non-coding RNA, 848 nt
Filed under: Gopherus agassizii (Agassiz's desert tortoise)
Lineage: Eukaryota; Metazoa; Chordata; Testudines; Testudinidae
Description: lncRNA (ENSGAGG00000010506.1)
Source: RNAcentral